RNAcentral lists this long non-coding RNA (949 nucleotides) under Homo sapiens (human). Its description in RNAcentral is "non-protein coding lnc-FAHD2B-1:1". The record is from RNAcentral. Lineage: Eukaryota; Metazoa; Chordata; Mammalia; Primates; Hominidae.
CAGAGGUCUCAGUUAGGAGAACCCUAACUGGGUGGGACCUCAAAAACUCCAUGCCUGGGAGAAUUGAAAUCUCUGUCAGCCCCAGAACACCAGCGAGGGUGGCUGCAGGCCCCGGUUGGGGGGGUUCCUCACUGGGCAAGACCCCGAGACCUCCGUGCCAGGGAGAAUUCAGAUCUCUGUCAGCCCCAGAACACCAGUGGGGUUGGCUGGAGACCCCAGCUAAAAGGACCCUCAUUGGGUAGGACCUCAAGAACUAAGUGCCAGGGAGAAUUCGAAUCUCUGUCAGCCUGAGAACACCAGGGGUGGGUGGCUGGAGGCCUGAAUUGAAAAGACCCACAGCGGACAGGAAGUGGAGACCUCCAUGUCAGGAAGAGUUCAAAUCUCUGUCAGCAUGAGAACACAGGUGAGGGUGGCCGGAGGCCCCAGUUAGGAGAACCCUUACUGGGCGGGACUUCAAGAACCAAGAACUGCAUACCUGGGAGAAUUCAAAUCUCUGUCAGCCCCAGAACACUGGCGGGGGUGGCUGGAGGCCCCAGUUGGGAGAUCCCUCACUGGGCAGGACCUAAAGACCUCCGUGCCAGGGAGAAUUCAGAUCUCUGUCAGCCCUGGAACACCAGCGAGGUGCUCUACCAAAAUGUGGCCAUACUGGGUCUUUAAGAAGGUCUGUGAUCCAUUCCUCCUCACUGGGCGGGACCUCCCAACCAGGGCCUCCAGCCACCCCCACCAGUGUUCUCGGGCUGGCAGAGAUUUGAAUUCUCCCUGGCAUGGAGGUCUGGAGGUCCUGCCCAGUGAGGCACCUCCCAACCGGGGCCUCCAGCCACCCCCACCAGUGUUCUGGGGCUGACAGAGAUUUGAAUUCUCCCUGGCAUGGAGUUCUGGAGGUCCUGCCCAGUGAGGCACCUCCCAACCGGGGCCUCCAGCCACCCCCGCCAGCGUUCUGGGGCUGACA